RNAcentral lists this ribosomal RNA (245 nucleotides) under uncultured Syntrophococcus sp. RNAcentral describes it as "partial 16S ribosomal RNA". It matches the Rfam family "Bacterial small subunit ribosomal RNA", at positions 524 to 768 of the family's 1533-position model. The record is from RNAcentral. Lineage: Bacteria; Bacillati; Bacillota; Clostridia; Lachnospirales; Lachnospiraceae.
UACGUAGGGGGCAAGCGUUAUCCGGAUUUACUGGGUGUAAAGGGAGCGCAGACGGCAGUGCAAGUCUGAUGUGAAAGCCCGGGGCUCAACCCCGGAACUGCAUUGGAAACUGCACAGCUCGAGUGUCGGAGGGGUAAGCGGAAUUCCUAGUGUAGCGGUGAAAUGCGUAGAUAUUAGGAGGAACACCGGUGGCGAAGGCGGCUUACUGGACGAUGACUGACGUUGAGGCUCGAAAGCGUGGGGAG